Molecule: long non-coding RNA, 663 nt
Organism: Oncorhynchus kisutch (coho salmon)
Lineage: Eukaryota; Metazoa; Chordata; Actinopteri; Salmoniformes; Salmonidae
Source: Ensembl
CAUGUUCACAGUGAGGUCCUAUGAGCAAGCUUUACAGUACAGGCUUCCUGACACUCCCUCUAACACUGUCACUAUCCACCACCCUGAAGGAAACAUGCUACUACAACAGCCAAUCUCCUUUCACCUCAGAGCUUCCUCCAGGAGACACUCAUAUCACAUCAUCAUCGUCUUCCUCAGCAUAUUCAUCAUCUUCAUCAUAUCCUUUUCUUCAUCAUGAUGUUCAGAGUUCUGAUUCACCUGGCAGCUCUACCACUCUGGGUGACAGGGCAGUUGUUUAGUAGCAUGGUUCAUCAGAGGCCUGUGGCACUAACAGAAGGUCCUGGAGGAGACGUUCAACUCACCUGCAGCCAUACGAUCCCUAACUACUACGUGAUACUAUGGUACAAACAGUCAGCAGGAGACACUGCUAUGAAACUCAUUGGUUAUGCAUAUACCAAGUCAAUAACCAUGGAGAAAUCAUUUGAAAAGCACUUUAAUGUGAGUGGAGACGGUGGGAAAGAGGCUUAUCUUCAUCUAGUGAGUCUGAGAGGACCUGAACACAGUGCAGUUUAUUACUGUGCAGCCAGCCAACACAGUGAUGUAGACUUCCUCCUGCUCUCUACUAAAACCCUGUCUGAUGGUAAUAUUAGACCACGGCUCAGAACACCUGCAUCUGAGGUUUGA